AUGAAUUACCAAGUCAUUCACAAGCAGCUACGCAGGCACGUCUCCCCCCUCCUUGUCUUUCUGCCGAACCGAGCUGUGUGGGGGCAAGAUGUGGAGUGUUUUCAAAUCCGUUCCAAGCAGAGCGAGACUCAAAGCUUGCAGCCCUUUGCUUGCAUGUACCUCGCUUGGCCACGGGAGAGUGCCAGAACUAUCCGGGGCGGUGUGUGGCCUACCAACGCAAUGGGCGCUGUUGGCGUGUUCUCCAUAUGUACGAGUAACACGGAUGAUGGUUCCCUGAGAGGUCAAGACUCUGGAGCCAGCCUGAUGGAUGAUCAGAAGUUUGGUUCGAGGAAAGACUCCACCGAAGUUCCUUCUAAGAAACCCAGAGGGACUGGUACGGAUGCUGGUGAUUUACAAAGUACGUCGGAUGGGCAACCAACAUUGGGUGCAAACCUCAGGAAGCCAGUGGGUUCAGGGUCUGGUAUUUUUGGAUCUCCUCAUAAUAGUGUUUUUCCUAAAUCUACAAAAGCUCGCCGAAGACCAGGUUUGGGUAACACUCUCGUACCAUCAAAAAGGGUUCUGCGUACCUACCAGACACAAAAAGAGAAGCAGCCACAUUGGUAAUAUGAAAUGUGGGACUCCAUUGCUGUUUUGUUGUGCACAUUCACAGACUUUGCCUUUAACAGCUGAGCUUUCUGAUGGCCAGCCAUGCUAAAUCACUGUUUUUAUCAACAUUGCAAAGCUUUUUAAAACUCUUACGUGUUGCGGUCACAGAUGCAAUCUAUAUCCUGUGUGAAUUUGUUCAUUGUCUACUUCCAGUAUGUCAUAAUCCUACAUAGGGAUAUAUUAAAGAACUAGCCUUUCACACAUUGGUCACCAUUAUUUCAUUAAUUUCCAAAUAACAUAGAAGUUCUGAGAAAAUUGGUGUUCCCUUUGGAAUCAUCCAAUCAUCUCCAGGGUCCCUUGUCCGAAUUAGAAGUGAUGGUCUAAUAUCAGACCUUUUGGAGAAAAAGACAGAUUUGAUGUCAGCUAUAAUGAGCUAUUCUAUCAGUUUUUCAUAUUACUUUAAUCCUCCCACAGGGAAUUUAAUCAGGUGUGUGUGUGUGUGUGUGUGUGUGUGUGUGUGUGUGUGUGUGUGUGUGUGUGUGUGUGUGUGUGUGUGGGGGUGGGGUGUGUGUGUGUGUGUGUGUGUGUGUGUGUGUGUGUGUGUGUGUGUGUGUGUGUGUGUGUGUGUGUGUUUGUUUUAUCUCCAAAUGUGGGUUUCCCAAGGUGGAAUGGAGUCCUCCCAGGUCUCCCACAUCCAUUUUGGUAAGGGGGAUCACGAUUCAUGGACCAAGCUGUGAAUUUUUCUUGUUCUCAAAGUUUUACUCCAAGUGCUCUUUUCAGGAUCGUCACUGAGCCAUGGACAGCUUCCAACUGUUGUUAUUUUGUAGUAAUAGUCCCAAGAAUGGUUUUUAAGAUCUCUUUAAGGUUCUUCAUCAUUCCCUUUGCUCCAAUCACUGGUGCAAUUUCAGUGCUCUUCAACUUCCAAAAUCUUUUCACUUCGUUUUUGAGAUCCUGGUAUUUGAUCAUUUUCUUGAUUUCUGCAUUGUUUAGGCCAAAAUUGCUGGGUACUGAUACCUCAUUUAGCAAUGUUGUCCUUUCUUUUUUUGUACCUAAGUGUACUAUAUUUGAUUGCAAUGGUUUUUUUUUUUCUAUGUACACACUCGAUGGGAUCUCCAGGUCGUACGUGAGCAUUACUUCCUUGUUUUCAAUAAUCGCUUUUAGUUCAUGUUUCCAUCAGUCUCUGAAACUGGGAGAUUUAAUCUUUUUUACAGAUGUGCCAGUGGAUUACUCGAUAUGCGUUGUUGAGCCUUUGUGUGUACAACAGUUCUGACAUGAGGUUUUUACAUCCCGAAAGGAGGUGGCUAAUGCUUUCUGUUUCUGCCUUGCAGAACCGACUAUAUGUGACUUUGUCUCACCAUUUUAUUAAAGCCAUUGAUAUAGUGUCCUUGGUCUUGGGCGUUUAUUAUGAAUUGGUCUCCAUCCCAGUUGAACUGAUCUCUUCUUGGACAUUCCAAUGAGCCUUCUUUGUGCUCAAUGUGUUCAACCUUUUUUUUUUUUUUAGUCUCCCUGCUCUUUUAUCGUUCUCCUAGUUGGUGCAUAUCUGUUGAUAUUUCACCUUUUAUUUUUCUUUUGUAUUUUUUUGCAAUCAUUGGGGCUGUAUUUGUUGCUAUUUAAAUUUCAUGCAUGACAUCUUUUUGCACCUGUCUUUGAAAAUUUUUUUUUGCAAGGGUUACAUUUUCUUUCUUGCUGUCGUUGUGUUUGUAUACAAAUUGGAUUCGGUAGUCUUUUGAACUUUUCACGUAUUCAGCCAGUCCUACAGUUGUCAUUCUCUGCUCUUGGUUGAGCUCCAUCAGGCUGCUACCACCUCGUCUCGACAGGUAAAUUCUCGAGAUGCAUUGAUUUUUGUCGAUAGUGAGUUUUCUUGUAUUGAUUUGUAGGUCAUUGAUUUCCACUUGUGGCCAGUUUUUAUUAUUUCGCAGCUGUAUUGGAAUACAGGCACUUUUGUAACUGUAUUGGAAUACUGUUCAUACAAUUUUUUUUUACUUUAUAACCAUGUUACGGUCUUUUGAGUGUUCAGUCCAAUCACACGAACACUGCUUUUUUGAACAUCCCGAGCUAAGCACUAAAUUCAGGAAAUCGGACCUCGAGAGUUAACUUCCCAUUCAUACCAUAAUUCACACCUCAUUCGCACAGGCUAAGCUCCAGCACUCUUCCUCCAUCUCGGACGCCAUUCUCUCCAUGGGACUCUUUACUGGCACGAGAGACAAUGGCACUCGCCCUGCUUCACCAGAUACCCCUCUAGCUUGUUGUCCCUCAUAAUCUUUUAUAUUACACAUGUUCAAUUUACUGUAAUUUAUUCAUUUUGGAUUUUAAAAUAAAAGUACAUUUAAUAAUGUUUUUAUGUUUCAAAAAAUAAAUGGUUUUAAUAGGGUCUUUGAACAUAUCACGCUGAGCAUGCAGGAAAUCAGGUUCUCGAAUGUGGGAAAGUGAACAAUGUGAAUGGCGCGGUCGUGCUGAACAGUGGAAUCCAGGGCUUCAUUCAUGUUCUCAUGAUGCAUCUUGCAUUUUUUGGGGGACCAUACCGAACUAUAUUGUAGUGUAAUUGUACAAAUUGACCCCCCUCUCCCCGCCCCCCACCCCCAACUGCCGCUGGUGUCUGUUCGUUGCCAAAAAAAGAUUUGUACAUACAUGUUUUUAGGCUUCAUUAUUAUUACUGUAUGUAUUUAUAGCAUCAAUUUAUUCAUUUUUGACUUGAGAAGCAUAUUUAAUGAUGUUUAAUUUCAUUAUGUCAAAAAAUAUGGUUUAAUUUUUGCACACACUAAUUUGAUCACCUAUUACAUGUUUUUAAAGGGCAUUUAUUCCAAUUUAGGAACUUACAGCUUAAGAGCACAUUGUGUUCAGAAACACGAAACUACCUGCACUGGUAUUGCUAGUUGUUUAUUGUUGAAUGGCUUGGAUUUUGUUUCUAUGGGAGAGUUAUCUUUUCAUGAUCAACGUCCUGGCUCCUGAGGAGGUAUUCUUUUUGGUAAUUGUUUUGCUCAUUUUUUGUGACACAUUUGGUGGCCCUUUUCUAAAGCCUGGUGUUGGCUCAGUGGUUAAGCCUGUAUCUCACUGGGCUGCGACAGCUCGCGACAAAAUGCGAACGGGAUUCUCCAAAAUGUCUGGAAACAUUCGCGGUGGUUCUCAAUCUCCUCGCGUGAGUUACUCUGGUGUCGCUGGAAUUUUGAACAUGUUCAAAAAAUUUGUGCGACAAAUUUUAUCUCAAAAUAGUCACAGAGUCGUCGCGGUUGUCUCGAACCGGUCUCGAGCCCUUCUC
This 3841-nucleotide long non-coding RNA is filed under the name Eptatretus burgeri (inshore hagfish). Its description in RNAcentral is "lncRNA (ENSEBUG00000017260.1)". Lineage: Eukaryota; Metazoa; Chordata; Myxini; Myxiniformes; Myxinidae. The record is from RNAcentral.